RNAcentral lists this ribosomal RNA (484 nucleotides) under uncultured bacterium. Its description in RNAcentral is "partial 16S ribosomal RNA". It matches the Rfam family "Bacterial small subunit ribosomal RNA", at positions 30 to 507 of the family's 1533-position model. The record is from RNAcentral.
AUUGAACGCUGGCGGCAGGCCUAACACAUGCAAGUCGAGCGGAUGAAGGGAGCUUGCUCCUGGAUUCAGCGGCGGACGGGUGAGUAAUGCCUAGGAAUCUGCCUGGUAGUGGGGGAUAACGUCCGGAAACGGGCGCUAAUACCGCAUACGUCCUGAGGGAGAAAGUGGGGGAUCUUCGGACCUCACGCUAUCAGAUGAGCCUAGGUCGGAUUAGCUAGUUGGUGGGGUAAAGGCCUACCAAGGCGACGAUCCGUAACUGGUCUGAGAGGAUGAUCAGUCACACUGGAACUGAGACACGGUCCUGACUCCUACGGGAGGCAGCAGUGGGGAAUAUUGGACAAAGGGCGAAAGCCUGAUCCAGCCAUGCCGCGUGUGUGAAGAAGGCCUUCGGAUUGUAAAGCACUUUAAGUUGGGAGGAAGGGCAGUAAGUUAAUACCUUGCUGUUUUGACGUUACCAACAGAAUAAGCACCGGCUAACUUCGUG